AGAGGUGGCAAGCGUUGCUCGGAAUUACUGGGCGUAAAGGGCUCGUAGGUGGCCAACUAAGUCGGACGUGAAAUCCCUCGGCUUAACCGGGGAACUGCGUCCGAUACUGGUUGGCUUGAGUUUGGGAGAGGGAUGCGGAAUUCCAGGUGUAGCGGUGAAAUGCGUAGAUAUCUGGAGGAACACCGGUGGCGAAGGCGGCAUCCUGGACCAAUACUGACGCUGAGGAGCGAAAGCCAGGGGAGCAAACGGGAUUAGAUACCCCGGUAGUCCUGGCCCUAAACGAUGAAUGCUUGGUGUGGCGGGUAUCGAUCCCUGCCGUGCCGAAGCUAACGCAUUAAGCAUUCCGCCUGGGGAGUACGGUCGCAAAGGGG
Molecule: ribosomal RNA, 371 nt
Filed under: uncultured bacterium
Lineage: Bacteria
Description: bacterial SSU rRNA
Rfam family: Bacterial small subunit ribosomal RNA
Source: RNAcentral